UCAAAAAAAAUUAGAUUAGAAUAACGUCUAAUCUUAACGAAACUCUCCACUUUUAUCGAUAGGUGUUAGCAAUUUUUUUUUUGUUUUAUUCAUUCCUAAUGUGCAUACUAGGCGUUAGUACUUACCUUGACAUUAGCCCUAGCAGCUUAUUAGGUGCCUUCAAAAGUCUUUUUCUUUUUUGAGCUGUCAAACUAAGCAGACGCACACCUUAGUACCAGCUACAACAUAUACAUAAAUCAAGUGGGUGAAACACGUGCAAAGUGAUCACAACAAAAUAAAACAAAUUAAAUCUGAAAAAUCCCCACACAUCAUUGGAAAAAUAAGUAAAGCAACGACAUCAGUAAAGUCGCAAACAAACCUAGCCUGGGAUCAGGCGUCUUCUAUGGCCGAAAAUCCACGAGAGUCCCACCCGCACCACCUGGAUUCCAUACCUGGAUCAUUACACAUAGUUUUUAUCAGGAUGAGUAACCCUAUCAAAGAUAAAAAAAAAAAACACCCACUUAGUCUAUCCCGUCUACCUUUAUUCGCAAAUCAAUACUGAUACACCGGAUAGGAGAAAUUUCGGAUAUCACCUAUAAAUAUAAAACGAUAUCAAAGUAUACAAUAGCGAACGAGAGUCGCCUUCCAAUCGUUUAUUACAUUUCGGUUGUUGUUCACAAACACAAAAAUUAAAUUACAUUAAAAUAUUAUGAACUUAUAUUGAACUAGAAAUU
Long non-coding RNA from Drosophila ananassae, 713 nucleotides. RefSeq lists it as uncharacterized. Lineage: Eukaryota; Metazoa; Arthropoda; Insecta; Diptera; Drosophilidae. The transcript has 2 exons. The record is from RefSeq and is a predicted model, not a curated record.